UAGAGUUUGAUCCUGGCUCAGAACGAACGCUGGCGGCGUGGAUUAGGCAUGCAAGUCGAACGCGAAAGAGGGGGCAACUCCUCGAGUAGAGUGGCGAACGGGUGAGUAACACGUGAGAAACCUGCCUUCAGCAGGGGGAUAACACUCCCAACGGGGUGCUAAUACCGCAUGAGACCACGGGUCCGCAUGAACCUGAGGUCAAAGGUGGCCUCUGCUUGCAAGCUACCGGCUGAAGAUGUCUCGCGUCCCAUUAGCUAGUUGGUGGGGUAAUGGCCCACCAAGGCGACGAUGGGUAGCUGGUCUGAGAGGAUGGUCAGCCACACUGGGACUGAGAUACGGCCCAGACUCCUACGGGAGGCAGCAGUCGAGAGGCUUUGGCAAUGGGGGAAACCCUGACCAAGCGACGCCGCGUGAGGGAUGAAGGCCCUUGGGUUGUAAACCUCUUUUGUCGGGGAAGAAACGCGAUCAGGUGAACAAUCUGGUCGUUUGACGGUACUCGGCGAAUAAGCUCCGGCUAACUCCGUGCCAGCAGCCGCGGUAACACGGGGGGAGCAAGCGUUGUUCGGAAUUACUGGGCGUAAAGGGUGUCUAGGCGGUUGAGUAAGUGAGAUGUGAAAUGCCCCGGCUCACCCGGGGACCUGCAUUUCAUACUGCUCAGCUCGAGUACGGGAGAGGAUGAGGGAAUUCCUGGUGUAGCGGUGAAAUGCGUAGAUAUCAGGAGGACACCGGUGGCGAAAGCGCUCAUCUGGUCCGAUACUGACGCUGAUGCACGAAAGCUAGGGAGCAAACGGG
RNAcentral lists this ribosomal RNA (792 nucleotides) under uncultured soil bacterium. RNAcentral describes it as "SSU rRNA". It matches the Rfam family "Bacterial small subunit ribosomal RNA", at positions 1 to 776 of the family's 1533-position model. The record is from RNAcentral.